AGUCGAACGGAGUUUACAGGCAGAAGUUUUCGGAUGGAAGCUUGUAAACUUAGUGGCGGACGGGUGAGUAACACGUGAGCAACCUGCCUAUCAGAGGGGGGUAACGAUUGGAAACGAUCGCUAAUACCGCAUGACAUAGCGGAACCGCAUGGUUCUGUUAUCAAAGAUUUUAUCGCUGAUAGAUGGGCUCGCGUCCGAUUAGAUAGUUGGUGGGGUAACGGCCUACCAAGUCGACGAUCGGUAGCCGGACUGAGAGGUCGAACGGCCACAUUGGGACUGAGACACGGCCCAGACUCCUACGGGAGGCAGCAGUGGGGGAUAUUGCACAAUGGGGGAAACCCUGAUGCAGCGACGCCGCGUGAGGGAAGACGGUCCUCUGGAUUGUAAACCUCUGUCUUCGGGGACGAAACGAGACGGUACCCGAGGAGGAAGCCACGGCUAACUACGUGCCAGCAGCCGCGGUAAUACGUAGGUGGCAAGCGUUGUCCGGAAUUACUGGGUGUAAAGGGAGCGUAGGCGGGCAGGCAAGUCAGGCGUGAAAUAUAUCGGCUCAACCGGUAACGGCGCUUGAAACUGCAGGUCUUGAGUGAAGUAGAGGUUGGCGGAAUUCCUAGUGUAGCGGUGAAAUGCGUAGAUAUUAGGAGGAACACCAGUGGCGAAGGCGGCCAACUGGGCUUUUACUGACGCUGAGGCUCGAAAGUGUGGGGAGCAAACAGGAUUAGAUACCCUGGUAGUCCACACCGUAAACGAUGAU
Molecule: ribosomal RNA, 754 nt
Filed under: uncultured bacterium
Lineage: Bacteria
Description: bacterial SSU rRNA
Rfam family: Bacterial small subunit ribosomal RNA
Source: RNAcentral